UAGAGUUUGAUCAUGGCUCAGGAUGAACGCUGGCGGUAUGCUUAACACAUGCAAGUCGAACGGGGCUUUACGGAGCCUAGUGGCGGACGGGUGAGUAACGCGUGAGAAUCUGCCUACAGGUUCGGGACAACGGUUGGAAACGACUGCUAAUACCGGAUGUGCCGAGAGGUAAAAGCUUAAUGUGCCUGUAGAUGAGCUCGCGUCCGAUUAGCUAGUUGGUGAGGUAAGAGCUUACCAAGGCGAUGAUCGGUAGCUGGUCUGAGAGGACGAUCAGCCACACUGGGACUGAGACACGGCCCAGACUCCUACGGGAGGCAGCAGUGGGGAAUUUUCCGCAAUGGGCGCAAGCCUGACGGAGCAAUACCGCGUGAGGGAGGAAGGCUUUUGGGUCGUAAACCUCUUUUAUUGGGGAAGAAGCACUGACGGUACCCAAUGAAUCAGCAUCGGCUAACUCCGUGCCAGCAGCCGCGGUAAUACGGAGGAUGCAAGCGUUAUCCGGAAUUAUUGGGCGUAAAGCGUCCGCAGGUGGUUAAUCAAGUCUGCUGUUAAAGCGUGCGGCUUAACCGCAUAUCGGCAGUGGGAACUGGUUGACUAGAGUUCGGUAGGGGUCACGGGGAUUCCCAGUGUAGCGGGUGAAAUGCGUAGAUAUUGGGAAGAACACCAGCGGCGAAAGCGCGUGACUGGGCCUGAACUGACACUGAGGGACGAAAGCUAGGGGAGCGAGAGGGAUUAGAUACCCCUGUAGUCCUAGCUGUAAACGAUGACAACUAGGUGUUGCCCGUAUCGACCCGGGCAGUGCCGGAGCUAACGCGUUAAGUGUCCGCCUGGGAAGUACGCACGCAAGUGUGAAACUCAAAGGAAUUGACGGGGGCCCGCACAAGCGGUGGAGUAUGUGGUUUAAUUCGAUGCAACGCGAAGAACCUUACCAGGGCUUGACAUGUCGCGAACUCUUGCGAAAGUGAGAGGUGCCUUCGGGAGCGCGAACACAGGUGGUGCAUGGCUGUCGUCAGCUCGUGUCGUGAGAUGUUGGGUUAAGUCCCGCAACGAGCGCAACCCUCGUCGUUAGUUGCCAGCAUUAAGUUGGGCACUCUAGCGAGACUGCCGGUGACAAACCGGAGGAAGGUGGGGAUGACGUCAAGUCAGCAUGCCCCUUACGUCCUGGGCUACACACGUACUACAAUGCUGUGGACAAAGAGUUGCCAGCCCGCGAGGGUGAGCUAAUCUCAUAAACCGCGGCCCAGUUCAGAUUGCAGGCUGCAACUCGCCUGCAUGAAGGCGGAAUCGCUAGUAAUCGCAGGUCAGCAUACUGCGGUGAAUACGUUCCCGGGCCUUGUACACACCGCCCGUCACACCAUGGGAGUUGGCCACGCCCGAAGUCGUUACUCCAACUGUUCGCAGAGGGGGACGCCGAAGGCAGGGCUGAUGACUGGGGUGAAGUCGUAACAAGGUAACCGUA
Molecule: ribosomal RNA, 1456 nt
Filed under: uncultured cyanobacterium
Lineage: Bacteria; Bacillati; Cyanobacteriota
Description: 16S ribosomal RNA
Rfam family: Bacterial small subunit ribosomal RNA
Source: RNAcentral